Molecule: ribosomal RNA, 479 nt
Filed under: uncultured bacterium
Lineage: Bacteria
Description: partial 16S ribosomal RNA
Rfam family: Bacterial small subunit ribosomal RNA
Source: RNAcentral
GAUGAACGCUCGCGGGAGGCCUAACACAUGCAAGCCGAGCGGUAGAGUUUCUUCGGAAACUUGAGAGCGGCGCACGGGUGCGUAACACGUGUGCAACCUACCUUUAUCUGGGGGAUAGCCUUUCGAAAGGAAGAUUAAUACCCCAUAAUAUAAUGAUUGGCAUCAAUUAUUAUUGGAAACUCCGGUGGAUAGAGAUGGGCACGCGCAAGAUUAGAUAGUUGGUGAGGUAACGGCUCACCAAGUCAAUGAUCUUUAGGGGUCCUGAGAGGGAGAUCCCCCACACUGGUACUGAGACACGGACCAGACUCCUACGGGAGGCAGCAGUGAGGAAUAUUGGACAAUGGGUGAGAGCCUGAUCCAGCCAUCCCGCGUGAAGGAUGACGGUCCUAUGGAUUGUAAACUUCUUUUGUACAGGGAUAAACCUACCCUCGUGAGGGUAGCUGAAGGUACUGUACGAAUAAGCACCGGCUAACUCCGUG